RNAcentral lists this long non-coding RNA (999 nucleotides) under Marmota monax (woodchuck). Lineage: Eukaryota; Metazoa; Chordata; Mammalia; Rodentia; Sciuridae. The record is from RNAcentral.
CCAGAACAGCCCUAAGCGCGGGUACAGUCCAGGGCAGGCGCAGGAGCUUCGGGAGACAGGGCGAGCUGGAGGGAGGUGUUCUGCCUACACAGUGGAAACAUGGCGGACCGUGAGAACGCUCAGGGGUCGAAAAUUUCUGAAGACAAUGUGAAUUUCUGAAACUAUAUCCUGUCUGCCUACUGCCAGAACUAAAUUCCUGUCUUCAAAGAUAUUUGGCUUAAAAGACAAAACCCUUAACAGAGUUUAGGAGAUUGCUGCAGUUUUCUAAAUGAAAAAAAAAAUGGACAAAACUGUGUAAUAUGAAGCAAACUCACAAGAUAAAGACGAGUAAAAACCUCUGGCUCUCAUAGUCCUUUUGAGGAAAAGAUGUCAUGAGAUUUCAUUUGGUCUCUGUUUAUGGAGCCUCAGAUUACCAACUUUAGGUCUAGAACUUUAUUUUUUAAGGUUCUAAUUGAACUAUCUUAGGAAUUUUUAGCAUAUUUUAUGUUUUCAGUAGUCAUAAAGUAUUAGAUCAAAAGUGUUUGUUGCACUAUGCAAUGAAAGUAAUGAAGGGAAAGUCACACUCUGUUCAGUGAUGGCAUUGCUACUGUGCCGCAGUCUGGCUGGGCACAAAUCACGAGCCACUGAAGCAGGAACAAACUUUAUUUCUGAACUCCACCAGCACACUCCACACACGCUCCCCGGGAAUUCUCUCGAACCCCAUGUGGCUCGUCCAGGAACCAGCAACUGGAAAUAUCCCUCCUCCGGCACUUCCCCAACCAAUUGGAACUCUCCGGGAAUCCCCGCAAGAGCUCAACUGGAACUCAAGGGGAACUCCGGGAGAACUCGCUGGCAUCACCUCUCAACCACUACUUCUGGCAAAAAUGCCGUGCGUCAUCCCGACUCGGCUGUGGCCCUCAACACUACUGUAAAUGGCCUUGGGCGGGGCUGGGGUUGUGGCUUAGUGGUCAGGCCCAUGCACAAGGCCUUCAGUGUGAUCUCUAGCACUCUGGAGUAGUA